UGACAAAGCCCAUUAGCAGUCGGUAUUUUGU
RNAcentral lists this non-coding RNA (31 nucleotides) under Rattus norvegicus (Norway rat). The record is from RNAcentral. Lineage: Eukaryota; Metazoa; Chordata; Mammalia; Rodentia; Muridae.